RNAcentral lists this ribosomal RNA (450 nucleotides) under uncultured bacterium. RNAcentral describes it as "partial 16S ribosomal RNA". It matches the Rfam family "Bacterial small subunit ribosomal RNA", at positions 354 to 796 of the family's 1533-position model. The record is from RNAcentral.
GUGGGGAAUAUUGGACAAUGGGCGCAAGCCUGAUCCAGCCAUGCCGCGUGUGUGAAGAAGGCCUUCGGGUUGUAAAGCACUUUUGUUGGGAAAGAAAUCCUGUCGGCUAAUACCCGGCGGGGAUGACGGUACCCAAAGAAUAAGCACCGGCUAACUUCGUGCCAGCAGCCGCGGUAAUACGAAGGGUGCAAGCGUUACUCGGAAUUACUGGGCGUAAAGCGUGCGUAGGUGGUUCGUUAAGUCAGAUGUGAAAGCCCCGGGCUCAACCUGGGAAUUGCAUUUGAUACUGGCGGACUAGAGUGCGGUAGAGGAGAGUGGAAUUCCCGGUGUAGCAGUGAAAUGCGUAGAGAUCGGGAGGAACAUCAGUUGCGAAGGCGGCUCUCUGGACCAGCACUGACACUGAGGCACGAAAUCGUGGGGAGCAAACAGGAUUAGAAACCCUAGUAGUCC